Lepidothrix coronata (blue-crowned manakin) is the source of this 403-nucleotide long non-coding RNA. RefSeq lists it as uncharacterized. The record is from RefSeq and is a predicted model, not a curated record. The transcript has 3 exons. Lineage: Eukaryota; Metazoa; Chordata; Aves; Passeriformes; Pipridae.
AAGGUGCUGGUGCGAGGACCUUUGAAAGACACUGGAUAUGGCAGUACUCCCCUCAGUCAUCUACCCUCCAUCUCACAAAGAAGAGAGAGGCUUGUGAAUUUGUUAUACUUUGUGUUGGAGCAUGGGCAAAUUCUGGAGGAUCAGGCGAGCUUGUUUUCAUCUUUUAUGAGCAGCACCUCCCUCCCUCUGUGCUGCAGCCUGUGGUGACACUGACCUCUGGUGAUCACGAACCUUAAUUACUAAAAAGUGCUGAAUAAGGCUGUGGCCCAUGCAGAAGUGACACCGUGCAGCCUCUUGAAGCAUGCUUCCGUCUCCGUGAUUUCUCCUUGCAUUUGCCAAACAUGACAUUAACUCCACUGAAGUGAACAGAAACCAGAUCUCCACCCAGGCUAUUUUUUGUCCA